This 253-nucleotide ribosomal RNA is filed under the name uncultured bacterium. Its description in RNAcentral is "partial 16S ribosomal RNA". It matches the Rfam family "Bacterial small subunit ribosomal RNA", at positions 524 to 776 of the family's 1533-position model. The record is from RNAcentral.
UACAGGGGGUGCAAACGUUGCUCGGAAUUAUUGGGCGUAAAGCGCGCGUAGGCGGCUAUCUAAGUCGGAUGUGAAAGCCCCUGGCUUAACCGGGGAAGUGCACCCGAAACUGGGUAGCUAGAGUGCAAAAGAGGGUCGCGGAAUUCCCAGUGUAGAGGUGAAAUUCGUAGAUAUCGGAAGGAACAUCAGUGGCGAAAGCGACUGCCUGGCCCAAUACUGACACUCAUGUGCGAAAGCGUGGGGAGCAAACAGG